GGAUUGUGGCUCAAUGGUAGAGCGCUUGCCUAGCAUGUGUGAGGCCCUGGGUUCUAUCCUCAGCACCA
This 68-nucleotide transfer RNA is filed under the name Marmota monax (woodchuck). RNAcentral's name for it is "tRNA.Ala". The stretch from base 5 to 65 matches the Rfam family "tRNA", at positions 6 to 65 of the family's 71-position model. From Rfam's summary of the family: Transfer RNA (tRNA) molecules are approximately 80 nucleotides in length. Their secondary structure includes four short double-helical elements and three loops (D, anti-codon, and T loops). Further hydrogen bonds mediate the characteristic L-shaped molecular structure. tRNAs have two regions of fundamental functional importance: the anti-codon, which is responsible for specific mRNA codon recognition, and the 3' end, to which the tRNAs corresponding amino acid is attached (by aminoacyl-tRNA synthetases). tRNAs cope with the degeneracy of the genetic code in two manners: having more than one tRNA (with a specific anti-codon) for a particular amino acid; and 'wobble' base-pairing, i.e. permitting non-standard base-pairing at the 3rd anti-codon position. The record is from RNAcentral. Lineage: Eukaryota; Metazoa; Chordata; Mammalia; Rodentia; Sciuridae.